Molecule: ribosomal RNA, 143 nt
Filed under: Aquificaceae bacterium
Lineage: Bacteria; Pseudomonadati; Aquificota; Aquificia; Aquificales; Aquificaceae
Description: partial 16S ribosomal RNA
Rfam family: Bacterial small subunit ribosomal RNA
Source: RNAcentral
CCCGUCACGCCACGGAAGUCAGUCUUCCCGGAAGCCCUCGGGCUAACCCGCAAGGGAGGCAGAGGACGAUGGGAAGGCUGGCAACUGGGGCGAAGUCGUAACAAGGUAGCCGUAGGGGAACCUGCGGCUGGAUCACCUCCUUU